RNAcentral lists this long non-coding RNA (428 nucleotides) under Rattus norvegicus (Norway rat). Its description in RNAcentral is "long non-coding RNA NONRATT013701". Lineage: Eukaryota; Metazoa; Chordata; Mammalia; Rodentia; Muridae. The record is from RNAcentral.
GGCGCGGCAACCCGCGGCCGAGGGGUAGCCGGGCUCAUGAUUCUGCCGCUGCUCCACGCCUCGUAAAGGCUUCUCAGAGACCAGAGCUGCGCGGGUUCCCAGCCCCCUCGGACCGCCCGCGGGGAACCGAACCUGCGCGCGGGGCCGGGCGGCGGGACACCAGGAAAGCAUCACAGAGAAGAGCCGAGUGGGCCGGCUGAGCCGACUAGCUAGGAGGAAAGGCAACGAUUCUGUGAGUGAGCCCAGGAAGAGCUUCAUGUAUUCCAGAACCUCAAAUGACAAUAUCCAGGAGUGCUUCAAUGCAACAAAACUGCUGACAUCCCAUGGCAUGAGCGUCCAGGCUCUGUUGAAUGCAACAGAGUUUAACUAUCUCUGUCCAGCCAUUAUCAAUCAAAUUGAUGCUCGGUCUUGUCUGAUUCACACAGCAA